UUUAAUCGUGAUUUCGUUUAGUAGUUGUGGAUGAAUUUGUAGUUGCAAAUACAAGUUUAUUUAUGUGUUUUCGACUUGCUCAAGAGAGAGGUCGUAAAACUAAAACUACUAAAUUGAUGGCCGGUGGGAGUGGGUUGACAUGAGGUUCAGCUCGAGAGAGUGAAUCCUAGUCUCAUUCCCACACACUCAGCUCGAGAGAGUAGGUAGGUUAAGGCAUAGGCUGGUCUUCAUGCGGCAAGUGGGN
RNAcentral lists this long non-coding RNA (244 nucleotides) under Solanum tuberosum (potato). Its description in RNAcentral is "long non-coding RNA (STUB_LNC011670)". The record is from RNAcentral. Lineage: Eukaryota; Viridiplantae; Streptophyta; Magnoliopsida; Solanales; Solanaceae.